RNAcentral lists this ribosomal RNA (466 nucleotides) under uncultured bacterium. Its description in RNAcentral is "partial 16S ribosomal RNA". It matches the Rfam family "Bacterial small subunit ribosomal RNA", at positions 28 to 507 of the family's 1533-position model. The record is from RNAcentral.
GAUGAACGCUGGCGGCGUGCUUAACACAUGCAAGUCGAACGAUGAAGCCCAGCUUGCUGGGUGGAUUAGUGGCGAACGGGUGAGUAACACGUGAGUAACCUGCCCUUAACUCUGGGAUAAGCCUGGGAAUCUGGGUCUAAUACCGGAUAGGAGCGUCCACCGCAUGGUGGGUGUUGGAAAGAUUUAUCGGUUUUGGAUGGACUCGCGGCCUAUCAGCUUGUUGGUGAGGUAAUGGCUCACCAAGGCGACGACGGGUAGCCGGCCUGAGAGGGUGACCGGCCACACUGGGACUGAGACACGGCCCAGACUCCUACGGGAGGCAGCAGUGGGGAAUAUUGCACAAUGGGCGCAAGCCUGAUGCAGCGACGCCGCGUGAGGGAUGACGGCCUUCGGGUUGUAAACCUCUUUCAGUAGGGAAGAAGCGAAAGUGACGGUACCUGCAGAAGAAGCACCGGCUAACUACGUG